CCUACGGGCUGCACCAGUGGGGAAUAUUGCACAAUGGGCGAAAGCCUGAUGCAGCGACGCCGCGUGAGGGAUGACGGCCUUCGGGUUGUAAACCUCUUUCAGCAGGGAAGAAGCGAAAGUGACGGUACCUGCAGAAGAAGCACCGGCUAACUACGUGCCAGCAGCUGCGGUAAUACGUAGGGUGCGAGCGUUGUCCGGAAUUAUUGGGCGUAAAGAGCUUGUAGGCGGUUUGUCGCGUCUGCCGUGAAAUUUCGAGGCUCAACCUCGAACUUGCGGUGGGUACGGGCAGACUAGAGUGUGGUAGGGGAGACUGGAAUUCCUGGUGUAGCGGUGAAAUGCGCAGAUAUCAGGAGGAACACCGAUGGCGAAGGCAGGUCUCUGGGCCACUACUGACGCUGAGAAGCGAAAGCAUGGGGAGCGAACAGGAUUAGAUACCCCGGUAGUC
Molecule: ribosomal RNA, 445 nt
Filed under: uncultured bacterium
Lineage: Bacteria
Description: bacterial SSU rRNA
Rfam family: Bacterial small subunit ribosomal RNA
Source: RNAcentral